AGAUGUGAAGACUAUCUGACUGUGACAUCUGUCACCCCACUGAUCACCUCGGUUGAUUUGGCUGAUCUAACUAGCUAAGCGGGUAUCCCCAUCCUCCCUUACCGCUAUACGUGCAUCCCUCCAAAAACAGCUUGCUUGGCCAAAGAGGAUGACUUCAUGGAGAGUAGAGAGGACUACUCUUAGGCAAAGAAUGUACGAGUAGCUGUGCUCUUCGCUGGAAUCUCCAAACACAAUCUCAGGGUUCAUUUAUAGGAGAACUUAGGGUGGACAGGCUUACAAGAGUCUAGGCACAUCCAAAUGACAUGCUACAUGUGGUUGAAUGCCUUUCU
This 329-nucleotide small nuclear RNA is filed under the name Pteropus alecto (black flying fox). RNAcentral's name for it is "7SK RNA". It matches the Rfam family "7SK RNA". From Rfam's summary of the family: 7SK was discovered as an abundant small nuclear RNA in the mid-70s but a possible function has only recently been suggested. The record is from Rfam by way of RNAcentral. Lineage: Eukaryota; Metazoa; Chordata; Mammalia; Chiroptera; Pteropodidae.